GACGAACGCUGGCGGCGUGCCUAAUACAUGCAAGUUGAGCGAUGAAGAUUGGUGCUUGCACCAAUUUGAAGAGCAGCGAGCGGGUGAGUAACGCGUGGGGAAUCUGCCUUUGAGCGGGGGACAACAUUUGGAAACGAAUGCUAAUACCGCAUAACAACUUUAAACAUAAGUUUUAAGUUUGAAAGAUGCAAUUGCAUCACUCAAAGAUGAUCCCGCGUUGUAUUAGCUAGUUGGUGAGGUAAAGGCUCACCAAGGCGAUGAUACAUAGCCGACCUGAGAGGGUGAUCGGCCACAUUGGGACUGAGACACGGCCCAAACUCCUACGGGAGGCAGCAGUAGGGAAUCUUCGGCAAUGGACGAAAGUCUGACCGAGCAACGCCGCGUGAGUGAAGAAGGUUUUCGGAUCGUAAAACUCUGUUGGUAGAGAAGAACGUUGGUGAGAGUGGAAAGCUCAUCAAGUGACGGUAACUACCCAGAAAGGGACGGCUAACUACGU
This 496-nucleotide ribosomal RNA is filed under the name uncultured bacterium. RNAcentral's name for it is "partial 16S ribosomal RNA". It matches the Rfam family "Bacterial small subunit ribosomal RNA", at positions 28 to 506 of the family's 1533-position model. The record is from RNAcentral.